RNAcentral lists this ribosomal RNA (229 nucleotides) under uncultured bacterium. Its description in RNAcentral is "partial 16S ribosomal RNA". It matches the Rfam family "Bacterial small subunit ribosomal RNA", at positions 568 to 796 of the family's 1533-position model. The record is from RNAcentral.
UACGUAGGCGGAAAAUUAAGUCAGUAGUGAAAUCCUGCAGCUUAACUGUAGAACUGUUAUUGAUACUGGUUUUCUUGAAUAUAGUUGAAGUAGGCGGAAUGUGUAAUGUAGCGGUGAAAUGCUUAGAUGUUACACAGAACACCGAUUGCGAAGGCAGCUUACUAAGCUAUGAUUGACGCUGAGGUACGAAAGCGUGGGGAGCGAACAGGAUUAGAUACCCUGGUAGUCC